Molecule: ribosomal RNA, 478 nt
Filed under: uncultured bacterium
Lineage: Bacteria
Description: partial 16S ribosomal RNA
Rfam family: Bacterial small subunit ribosomal RNA
Source: RNAcentral
GACGAACGCUGGCGGCGUGCUUAACACAUGCAAGUCGAACGGUAAGGCCCUUCGGGGUACACGAGUGGCGAACGGGUGAGUAACACGUGGGUGAUCUGCCCUGCACUUCGGGAUAAGCCUGGGAAACUGGGUCUAAUACCGGAUAGGACCACUGCCUGCAUGGGUGGUGGUGGAAAGCUUUUGCGGUGUGGGAUGGGCUCGCGGCCUAUCAGCUUGUUGGUGGGGUGAUGGCCUACCAAGGCGACGACGGGUAGCCGGCCUGAGAGGGGGACCGGCCACACUGGGACUGGGAUACGGCCCAGACUCCUACGGGAGGCAGCAGUGGGGAAUAUUGCACAAUGGGCGCAAGCCUGAUGCAGCGACGCCGCGUGAGGGAUGACGGCCUUCGGGUUGUAAACCUCUUUCAGCACCGACGAAGCGCAAGUGACGGUAGGUGCAGAAGAAGGACCGGCCAACUACGUGCCAGCCGCCGCAGUAA